AGCAGCCGCGGUAAUUCCAGCUCCAAUAGCGUAUAUUAAAGUUGUUGCAGUUAAAAAGCUCGUAGUUGAAUUUCGGGAUCAAUAUAUCGGUCGUGCCUUGGUACGUACUGGUAUCAUUGGUUUCUCCUUUCUGACGAACCAUGAUGUCAUUAAUUUGGUGUUAUGGGAAGUUAGGACUGUUACUUUGAAAAAAUUAGAGUGUUUAAAGCAGGCUUUAGCUUGAAUACAUUAGCAUGGAAUAAUGAAAUAGGACGUUCGAACCUAUUUUGUUGGUUUCUAGGAUCAACGUAAUGAUUAAUAGGGAUAGUUGGGGGCAUUAGUAUUCAAUUGUCAGAGGUGAAAUUCUUGGAUUUAUUGAAGACUAACUACUGCGAAAGCAUUUGCCAAGGAUGUUUUCAUUAAUCUAAGAACGAAAGUUAGGGGAUCGAAGACGAUCAGAUACCGUCGUAGUCUUAACCAUAAACUAUGCCGACUAGGGAUCGGAUGAUGUAAUUUUUAAUGACUCAUUCGGCGCCUUACG
This 520-nucleotide ribosomal RNA is filed under the name uncultured Glomus. RNAcentral describes it as "SSU rRNA". It matches the Rfam family "Eukaryotic small subunit ribosomal RNA", at positions 569 to 1092 of the family's 1831-position model. Lineage: Eukaryota; Fungi; Glomeromycota; Glomeromycetes; Glomerales; Glomeraceae. The record is from RNAcentral.